RNAcentral lists this non-coding RNA (137 nucleotides) under Kordiimonas lacus. Its description in RNAcentral is "MoCo sequence". It matches the Rfam family "Molybdenum/Tungsten riboswitch aptamer (Moco RNA motif)". Lineage: Bacteria; Pseudomonadati; Pseudomonadota; Alphaproteobacteria; Kordiimonadales; Kordiimonadaceae. The record is from Rfam by way of RNAcentral.
AAGAGUGCCCAACUCCGAAGCCUCUGGCUCUAAGUGACCCAUGUCAUACGAGCCUUUGGCCGCAGCCAAUGCUGCCGGGUCUGCGCGGGAAACCGUCUGGCCUCUCGCGAUUAGAAAGGAGCCAGCUUGUGCGCUUA